Long non-coding RNA from Prinia subflava (tawny-flanked prinia), 6821 nucleotides. RefSeq lists it as uncharacterized. The transcript is spliced from 4 exons. The record is from RefSeq and is a predicted model, not a curated record. NCBI's taxonomy places the organism in Eukaryota, Metazoa, Chordata, Aves, Passeriformes, Cisticolidae.
UUCAUGUCUUCUUAUGCAAAAUAUUGAAAAGCAAAUAUUUGCUCAGUUCUGACUGGUGUUGGUUUGUACUUUUCUAUUUCGAUGGUGGCACACGCUGUGUGAAUUGUUCCCAUAGUGAAUGUCAUUUGGUCAAAAAUAGUAAGUAAUAUUGAACUAGUUUCUAUGGAUUUUUAACAGAAAAUAUAUAGCAUAGAAUAGCCUUCUGCUUGCAGAGAUCACUUAGCUUCUGUCAGUCUCCAGCACCCCAGGAGAGGGAUGGACUGCCCAGCUGGAACUCAGUUCUUACCAGAUUUCUGAAAACCAGAAUAUGUCAGCACUCCUAAACUGGGAGCUUAAGAGCAAAAUCACAGAAACACCUUGUUUCCUGAGCCAAUGCUUGUUUAAUAAAUUUAUGACAUGAAUACCAAAUGGGGCAUUUUUCAGCCAUAGCUGAAGAAAAUCAAAUUGCAGUCAGGUGCCAAAGGGAUGGUGUCACUCCCUCCAUGUCCCUCCUGCUCUCCAUACAUGUUUGAAUACUCCCACCUUUUUCCCUUGCACUGGGACUGGGACUUGCUUCUGCUGGUGAGCCAAUUUCAAUCUCUAAAAGAACACAGAAAUAAAAUUGUGAUUUUUAAAAUGUUUUUCUUUUUAUUUUUCUUUGUUUUGUUUGUUGGUUUUUGUUUGUUGGUUUUUGUGGGGUUUUUUGUUUUUGUUUUUGGGGAUGUAGGAUUUAAGGGUGUUUUGGAAGCUGGGUGUAAAUUUCUAUUAUUAUUUAGCAGGGUGAGAGGUUGAUUGCUGAUGCUGCCUGCCAGUCUCUGUUCCUUCACCUCCUCCUCAGCUGUGCUAGCACAGGUAUUUUUGCAUCCAUGCCUUCAACUACCUCAAGGGAUAGGAACAGGUUUAAAAUAACCUAGUAAAAAUGGCUUUUAUUAUUCUGGACCAGUUCUUCCCACGGUGUCACAAACAAUUGUACCAAGAUGCCUAAAGGGAGAUGUUGGAAGGAGCUGGGUGGUCAGGAGAGGCAGAGGAGAAGGGCACAGGCUGCCAAAACAAAUGGAUGUCAAAUCUGCCCUUAGCACGGUCUUGAAUACCCACACAGGGCAGUGAAGAGCUGACAUGACACAAAUUCACAUCCCAGCUUGGCAUGCAGUCCCCUCUCAAUGUGGAUGCAGCCUUAACUGCUGUGAUGAGAAUAAAAAAAUUCACUGAUGGAGCCACUGAGAAACUUGAAAGGAUUUGCUGUUCCUGGAGCAAGGAGCACAAAGGAAUCUAUGCUAAUGUACUGUUAUGAGCUCUGUUCUUUGGGAUUUAUUUAUUUAUUCUCCUUUUUACAACACAACUUGCAGCUGCAAGGAGCUGAAGUGUGGGCUUAAAAAUAGAAGGAGACUAAGUGUGUUGCACAAAAUAACCUCCAAGCAGACUCCUGUCUGGCUGUGUCUUUGUAGUGUGUGGUGUGUCUAAGAAAAUAUUUUAAAAAAUACGUAUUUUGAAAUCUGUAGUAUUUUCAGCCUGAAGGUUCUGUAUAUGUCUUAUUUUGAAGCAUGACAGGGAACCCUAGACAAGUCCUAAGUUUUAUGAAUAUGUCAAAGCACACGUAGAAAAUGUCUGGAAGCAGUCUUGGUUUAGAGCUCUUGGGAACAAACAAAUGUCACUGGGAGUCUCUGAGCACGGGCAGCACCCCUUGGGGUGCUACUGAAAUUCCCUGUAUCAUUUAAGAGCCUCAUUUCUCUUACAUCUGAAAUGGCUUUGAUCUCUCAGGAGGUAGAGGCAGGUAGGGCACUUUGUUCAGUGCCAUCAGUAAGAUACAGGGAAGAUGACAAAUUCAUGCCUAAAGUUUUGCUUCCACCCUUUGCUAAGUGAGUUUACUAUUUUCACAUACUUGAAGAAAUAUUUUUAUUCAUUUUUUGAUGCAUAUUUGAUAUCUGUGCUCCCCAAGGCUUGCUCAUGGUGCAUUGCUAAUGGGAUUGAGUAGUUUUCACACUGUGUGGUCACCCUGCUCUUUGCUCUGCUUGUAGGGUUUCACAGGCAUCUGUCCCCCAACACGAACUGCUGGGAGCUGAAACUCAAUUGUGUCAGCUGCAUCAUCUGCAAAUCCGUCCUAAUGAAAUUUGGCUAAAGUGGUCAGAGUUGCUCCAGAGUAAAUGGAACUGCCACAUGUUUGUGACAGCUGAGAUGACAGUCCAGCACGUCUCUCAUAGCUCAGGAUGGCAUGCAUCAUUAGAUUUACAGAAUGGGAAGAGAAGCCUGUGCUAGAAGCUACUGUCCUUCAGGCUUUCACAUUAUCUUUUCAGUUUCCUUGAAAUUCAAACAAAUUAGAGGCCUUGAAAAGAUCAACCAUGAACAGAUACAGCUUGUCAGCUAUGUAAAAAAAAAUAAGGCAGAAAAAAAUUACAAAAUGCUACUGGUGGUGUAUUGCUCUUUAAAAAAAAUCUGUUUUAUUUAAUUUGAGGUGAGUGGGACAAAUUGCAAAAGGAUAAAAUUCAGAAUACAAGUGACUGGUGUUGAUGUAACACCCAGAGCAGGGGACAAAAGGCUCUUAAGGACUUUCCUUUUUUGGUAUAUUUUCAUACCCUUUUACAGUCUUUCCAGUGGCUGCCCACAUUGAAGCGAAAUGUUUGUCUAGUUGAAUGUCCCAGGUAAUAUUUUGUGGGUGAAUUUCUUCUAAUGGAACAGGUCAGUUGGAUAGCCAGACAUCCCACAGCAUCCACUUCUGUCCAGAGUUGGAAUUUAAAGAGAAGGAGAGAGAACAGCACAACUGCAAGACUUUAAUGUAUUUUCUGAACUUGUAAAUCUCCUUGUAGGCUCCAGAGCUCACAGGUCUGUCCUCAUGGCUGUCAGAGAGAAUAAGGUAAGGGAAGAAUUUGCUCUCUAGUGGAAAUUUUCUUCUUGAGGCAGUAGGGACAUUUUACAUUCAUUAAAAUACUCAUAUGUGAGUCAGUUUAGAAGUUCUCCUUAGCAGUAUCACCCUGCACAUCUGUUAUUACUCAGAUUCCCUUAGCAACUCUAAGAAAUAUUUUCAAAUCUUGAUAUUUCCUAGUUUUCUUUGAGAAGACACCUCCACUAAAACGGAAAUGUGGCAAAAGACUCUUUACUUGUGCUAUGCAAAUUAAUGUUCAAGGAAGAUACAAAAACUGGAGAGAUGUAUUCUUUGUGGCCUUGAUAAAAGGAUGCUUGGAGAAAGAAGUAAUAAUACAAUAAUAAAUCUGUCUCAUGACAAGGUAAUGAGGGAAGACUCCUGAGAUAAAGAGCCUGUCUCCAUUCGUGUCAAAGGAAUUGGGCUGAUUGACAUCACCACAAGUGGGAAGGACAUGGGGAUGUAUAGUAAAUAUAUCCUAAAACAAAAACAAAAACAAAAACAAAAACAAAAACAAAAAAAAAGGAAACAAAAAUCAAAAAUCAGCCUCUGAAUAGUUCCCUCCUGGUAGAAAAUGUCCACUGGGGAAAGUAGGUAUAAAUAAUAAAUCUUUAGCUCUAAGAAUGAUGUUUUUCACUUCAUUUUUCUGUACAAUGCAAUAUUUAAAUUUAUUUCAUUAAGACUUUAAUUCUCUGUCCACCAUGCCCUUUUCCCUUGAGGAAACUUCAUAAAUAUUUCCUUGUUAUUUCACUGGUUCUUACGUUGCUUCUUGUGAAGAACUUGGAAGAAUUUGUUAAUUCAGUGUGAAUCCUUCUCUCAUCUUUGGCCAAGGCUGAGUUUGUGGUUUAACCCCAGCUGGAAACAGCUUACAGCCUGGUGGGAUGAGAGGAGAAGUGGAAAAAUGUAAAACUCAUGCGCUGAGAUAACAACAGAAUAAUAAUUAAAGUAAAAUAUACUCCAACAACUACUAUUACUAAUAAUAAUGACAAUUAUAUGGACUAUUUUUUUGGCCACUUUGGAUCUCUUGUCCUGGCCAUGCUCCAUUUCAGCUUCCUGUGAAACUUCUCACUGACAGAGCAUGGGAAACUUAAAAGUAUUUAACUUUGGGAAAAAAAACUUCUUAGAAACAACUAAAAUAUCAGUGUGUUAUCAACAUUAUUCUCAUACUAAAUCAAAAACACAGCAUUGUAUCAGUUAGUAGGAAGACUGAAACCAGGACAAUGUGAAACAGGAGCACAGAGCUUUUUCUAUUCUGUUACCUCCUUAAUUCCAUUUAAUUUCUAGUUCCUUUGUUAUGCUCAGUAUUUCAGCCUUGAGCUGUCUGUUCAAACUACAUCCUCAGAAUGCUGGUCGCUUACCUUCACUGAAGUCUCCCAUGAAACCAUUACAGAUAUAUUUGCAUUCUGACACUAAUUUGAUGUGGCUAGAUUUUUUUAAUCCUGACAGUUAUUAUACAAUAAUUCUCUUAACCCCUCAAUUAUGUUUAGCAUGUCUUUUUCCUCCUUUGAGCUGUAGUAGCUCUUUCUUGUGUAUUGUCCCUCUGCUAUUUGGCUGCGAGAAGGACCCUACUCAAAAGGUCGGGUUUUUUUUUUUUAACUCAGUAAAAUUCUGCUUAGUUUGAGUCAUAAGCCAGUUUAAAAUGCGAUUUUCCUUUAUUAUCUCUUUGCUGACUUUCUCAGAAACCCACAGAAAUUCUGGUUAAUUGUGAAUUCUCCAUGCCAUCCUCAAAGUGUUGGGCCAGGGCUGGGACCGGAGAGCAGCUGUGGGCUGCUCGUGGUUUUGCCUACUCAGUAUUUGCCUCUGGCUCGAGGCUCAGGUUCCAGGCUGGAAAUUCCAGGCAGCUCAGCACUAUUGUGUCCAGAGGCAGCUGGGAGCAGCAGGCAGCAGGCUGGCUGGGAAGCAUCCCCUCUCCACAGUUACCCUGCUCCAGCCAAAACCAGCUCUGGAUCCCAAAGCCUCCUGCUCUGUUCCAGAAGUGAUGAGGGCUAAAUGGUUUGCAGAUAAUAAUAAUGAUAAUAAUAAUAAUAACACCCAGGAUAAUAAUAUCACCCAGCUGAUCUUGGCACUGCACUCAGCCUGCUCGUGGUCACCCCGGUGGGAUGAAGGAGCAUCUCUGGUAGCAGCACAAAGCUGUUCUAAUUCCUGAUUAUUAUCAUUAAUAACUCUUGUAGAUAAAGGGAGGUGCCUUCCUCACAGAAUCAAACCAUCCAGCAUCAUCCUAAAAUAUUUUCCAGCAAAUUUAUUUGUUUUCUCUUACUACAGAUGGUGGCCUGAUCCAAAUCUCAUUGCAGCCUGAGGAAAGAGCCAGUCUCGCUGGAUCUUCUUGAAAACUUUGGCAGCUUGAGUGCAGAAAAGCUCUUCCUGGUUUUAUUUAGGACUUCUUAAAAAUAUUCUUCUAUUUUCUAUUGGACUUUCCCUGCUUUGCAGUCCAAGCAUCCCAUCUGUACAUGUAGUAGCAUCCAGAUCAUCUCUUUUUCCCCUCCAGCUGCACUGAGAGAUUUUCUAGCUGCUAGCUGGAAGCAUGUUUUGCCCCUAAUUUUACUUUAUUCUUGACAUCACCACAGAUUUUUUGCAUCACCUUUUUCACAAGGCAGUAGCAUCUUGAUGUUUUAAACAGUCCAUAUUCUCACUAAAGGGGCAUGGAGCUAAGGGAAACUAGUACCUGCUUUGGUUUGGAAAAUAAGAAAUACUGAAUGGCGUAAAAAUUCAAAGGACUGAAGUUUAUUAUAAAACCCAAGACACUUGUUAUGGAGAAAUCUUUUAGGAUUGCUUUUUUUCCUGUUCCCAAGUGAUUUUGAAAAUACUGUGGGACUUUAUCAUAACCUUGCUCCUCCUCCUAAAUUAAAGCUGAAGCCUGACACAGGGCAAGUAUCUCUAAAGACAGCAGCUGCAUGGAAAACUUCGCACAGUUUCAGAGCUGCAAGCUUAUCUGCUUGAGGAUAUUGCUAAGGAACCAGAUGGAGAGCAGUUUUCCACAGUUAACCAUCUGGGCCCUGCAGUGAUACACUCUGCCCUGAGCAGUACUCUGGGAAUUGACUUCAUGGGGGAAAAAGCAGAGAAAAAACAGGCAGAGAAAGAAGAGCGUAAUAUUUUAUACUGCAAAAAUAUGCAGUUAAAGAAUCACCAUUUUGGCACACACUGCAAUUUCCUCAUCUCUGUGUUUAUAACCUGUGGGAUAAAAGGAAGGGAAAGUGAGACACUGAUGGUUAUUAUAGCAUGAAAGCCAGCUGUGAAGGAAUCCAGAAAUGGUGUUCUGUUUUUAAUGGAGCUUUGAUUGAGUUAAUAGAUGUCAAGGUGAAAGGUAACAGUGAAAGGUAAUACUUUCUGAUAGAGCUUCUAUUUGUUUACAUUGAUAUAUAAUUUUAGGUCUGCUGAAUUAAUUUUGGGAGUUCUGUAUUUCAGGGCUUCCAGCCAGUGCUGUGGUUCACCUGCAGUGAUUUGCAGUGAAACCAAAGAAAGAGCCACUCCAGCCUGGUGGCACUGUGUGUGCACAUGGGUGUUUAUUGCAUCUGGAUGUUCACAAGGAGCUAGCAGAUAGAAUUGAUUAUCAGAACUGGAAAAUAUGACCUGUAUGAAAAGCUUGGUUUUUCAUAACCUGUAGCUUGGAGAAGAUGACAAGGUACUGCUAUAUGCAAAUACCACUUGAAAAAACAGGAGACACAAGCACUGAAGGCAGCCAGGAGGUUUUUAAGAGCAAGUAGAAGGAGAUGAAAACAAGAAAAUGACUGAAAUAGAAAUCUCAAAAGUAAGGAAUUUUCAAAUCCAUAUCUAAUCAGUAAACAUAAGAGAAAAAAAAUAUCAUUUUCUUUUCAAAUUUGCUAAUUUUAGAACAACAGUAAACUGCUCAGUAAAAUUUAUUGGUUGUUUUGUUCUGGUGAAAAAAUGGAUUAAUCUUUGGAAGGCAGCAGGGGAAGGAAAGGUGACAAAGGAUGGGACAGUACUGGAGAGAAGUGUGGGCACAGGAGUUCCUGGGAGUGGCAAGGCAGGG